This 253-nucleotide ribosomal RNA is filed under the name uncultured bacterium. RNAcentral describes it as "partial 16S ribosomal RNA". It matches the Rfam family "Bacterial small subunit ribosomal RNA", at positions 524 to 776 of the family's 1533-position model. The record is from RNAcentral.
AACGUAGGGUGCAAGCGUUGUCCGGAUUUAUUGGGUUUAAAGGGUGCGUAGGUGGCUGAUUAAGUCAUGGGUGAAAGCCCGCAGCUCAACUGUGGAAUUGCCUGCGAUACUGAUUAGCUUGAGUGCGGUUGAGGCAGCUGGAAUUGGUGGUGUAGCGGUGAAAUGCAUAGAUACCACCAGGAACACCGAUUGCGAAGGCAGGUUGCUAAGCAGUAACUGACGCUGAUGCACGAAAGCGUGGGGAGCAAACAGG